AUGUUUUCCUGGGGUUAAAUAGGGAAUCAGGCCUGCACCCUGAGAAAUUUAAAGAGCUGCAGUAUUAUGACUGUACAAAGGUAGCAAAAUCAUUAGUCUUUUGAUUAUGGACUAGCAUGAAAGGUUAGACGGAGGAAAACUAUUUAUCUUUUAGGCUUUGAAUUUAUCUUUUUUGUGAAAAGACAAAAAUAAUAUUAAUAGACAAGAAGACCCUUUUAAGUUUUAUUUAUUAUUAAUAUCUUUAUUAAUAUAUCAAAAUAAAAUAUUGCUAUAAAUUUUGCUGGGGCGGCAACUAAGAUCUUGAGAUCCAUAAAGAAAUAAAAAUUUUUAAAUUAAAUUUAUGAGCCCUCUAAUAAGGACUAAAAGAACAAACUACUGAAGGGAUAACAGCGUUAUAUUAUUUAAUAGUCCUUAUUGACAAUA
This 423-nucleotide ribosomal RNA is filed under the name Pachyiulus hungaricus. RNAcentral describes it as "partial small subunit ribosomal RNA". Lineage: Eukaryota; Metazoa; Arthropoda; Diplopoda; Julida; Julidae. The record is from RNAcentral.